GGAUUAGAUACCCUGGUAGUCCUAGCUGUAAACGAUGGAUACUAGACGUAGGAACUGGAUUGACGGUUUCUGUGUCGCAGCUAACGCGUUAAGUAUCGCGCCUGGAGAGUACGGUCGCAAGACUAAAACUCAAAGGAAUUGACGGGGGCCCGCACAAGCAGUGGAGUAUGUGGUUUAAUUCGAUGCAACGCGCAGAACCUUACCCGGCCUUGACAUCCUGUGAAAUCCUCCGAAAAGAGGACGUGCUACCGCAAGGUAGAACGCAGUGACAGGUGCUGCAUGGCUGUCGUCAGCUCGUGUUG
RNAcentral lists this ribosomal RNA (302 nucleotides) under uncultured bacterium. RNAcentral's name for it is "bacterial SSU rRNA". It matches the Rfam family "Bacterial small subunit ribosomal RNA", at positions 775 to 1067 of the family's 1533-position model. The record is from RNAcentral.